This 204-nucleotide unclassified non-coding RNA is filed under the name rhizosphere metagenome. RNAcentral describes it as "partial ribosomal RNA internal transcribed spacer region". The record is from RNAcentral.
GUAGGUGAACCUGCGGAGGGAUCAUUACUGAGUGAGGGCCGAAAGGCCCGACCUCCAACCCUUUGUCAUCCGACUCUGUUGCCUCGGGGGCGACCCGGCCUUCGGGCGUCUUGGGGCCCCCGGUGGAAAUAUAACACUGCAUCUUUGCGUCUGAGUAAACCUUUGAAUAAAUCAAAACUUUUAACAACGGAUCUCUUGGUUCUG